This 72-nucleotide transfer RNA is filed under the name Danionella translucida. It matches the Rfam family "tRNA". From Rfam's summary of the family: Transfer RNA (tRNA) molecules are approximately 80 nucleotides in length. Their secondary structure includes four short double-helical elements and three loops (D, anti-codon, and T loops). The record is from Rfam by way of RNAcentral. Lineage: Eukaryota; Metazoa; Chordata; Actinopteri; Cypriniformes; Danionidae. RNAcentral also lists the same sequence under 1 other name.
GGUUCUAUGGUGUGAUGGUUAGCACGCUGGACUCUGAAUCCAGCAAUCUGAGUUCAAAUCUCGGUAGGACAU